GGUCAAGUGACUAAGCGUACACGGUGGAUGCCUUGGCAGUCAGAGGCGAUGAAGGACGUGGUAAUCUGCGAUAAGUCUUGGGGAGCUGAUAAACAAGCUGUGAUCCAGGAAUUUCCGAAUGGGGAAACCCAACGGCAUAAGCCGUUAUUCCUUACCUGAAUACAUAGGGUCUGGAAGGCGAACCCGGGGAACUGAAACAUCUAAGUACCCGGAGGAAAAGAAAUCAAUUGAGAUUCCCCCAGUAGCGGCGAGCGAACGGGGACCAGCCCUUAAGCAAUUUAUGAGUUAGUGGAACACUCUGGAAAGUGUGGCCAUAGUGGGUGAUAGCCCCGUACACGAAAGCUCAUUUAUUGUGAAAUCGAGUAGGACGGGACACGUGAAAUCCUGUCUGAACAUGGGGGGACCAUCCUCCAAGGCUAAAUACUCCUGACUGACCGAUAGUGAACCAGUACCGUGAGGGAAAGGCGAAAAGAACCCCGUUGAGGGGAGUGAAAUAGAACCUGAAUCCGUGUACGUACAAGCAGUGGGAGCCUACUUACUCUUUUUUAAGGGCAGAGGGGUGACUGCGUACCUUUUGUAUAAUGGGUCAGCGACUUACUUUCAGUGGCAAGGUUAACCGCAUAGGGGAGCCGUAGGGAAACCGAGUCUUAAUAGGGCGUGUUCUUAGGAACAACAGUCGCUGGGAGUAGACCCGAAACCGGGCGAUCUAUCCAUGGGCAGGUUGAAGGUUGAGUAACAUCAACUGGAGGACCGAACCGACUAUCGUUGAAAAGCUAGCGGAUGACCUGUGGAUAGGAGUGAAAGGCUAAUCAAGCCCGGAGAUAGCUGGUUCUCCUCGAAAGCUAUUUAGGUAGCGCCUCGUGUCUCACCAUCGGGGGUAGAGCACUGUUUGGGCUAGGGGGUCAUCCCGACUUACCAACCCCAUGCAAACUCCGAAUACCGAUGAGUGCAAUCACGGGAGACACACGGCGGGUGCUAACGUCCGUCGUGGAAAGGGAAACAACCCAGACCGUCAGCUAAGGUCCCAAAGUAACAGUUAAGUGGGAAACGAUGUGAGAAGGCCCAGACAGCCAGGAGGUUGGCUUAGAAGCAGCCACCCUUUAAAGAAAGCGUAAUAGCUCACUGGUCGAGUCGGCUCGCGCGGAAGAUUUAACGGGGCUCAAACUGUUCACCGAAGCUACGGGUCUAGAGACUAGUUUCUAGAAACAUGUAUCAAGAUUAGUUAUAUGCCAUAUCGCAAUCUAAGUGUUUAUCAAAAAGCGUAUCAAUUGGCGCUGGAAAUUCAUCGUUUAAGUCUUGGUUUUCCAAGGAUUGAGCAGUUUGAAUUAGCAAGCCAAUUAAGACGAGCCAGCAAAUCCAUUGUAGCCAAUAUAGUUGAAGGAAUGGGUAAGCAGGAAAGUCCCGCUGAAGUUAAGCGCUAUUUGCGAAUAGCCAUGGGUUCGUGUGAUGAAGUUCGGGUUUGGUUAGAGUUUUCCAAAGAUCUGGAAUACAUCAGCCAAGCGAACUAUGGGCAUUAUGAUUUCAGAUACCAGGAAGUCGGAAAAAUGCUUAGAGGCAUCAUCAAACGUAACACAAAUUCUUGAUACUAGUAUCUAGAAACUAGUUUCUAGGCGGUAGAGGAGCGUUCUGUAAGCCGUUGAAGGUGCAUCGGGAGGUGUGCUGGAGGUAUCAGAAGUGCGAAUGCUGACAUGAGUAACGACAAGGGGAGUGAGAAGCUCCCCCGCCGGAAGACCAAGGGUUCCUGCGCAACGCUAAUCGGCGCAGGGUGAGUCGGCCCCUAAGGUGAGGUCGAAAGACGUAAUCGAUGGGAAACAGGUCAAUAUUCCUGUACCCCUUUUGACUGCGAUGGAGUGACGGAGAAGGCUAGGUCAGCGCAGCGUUGGUUGUCUGCGUUUAAGAUCGUAGGCCGGGGAUCCAGGCAAAUCCGGAUCCUCAAGGCCGAGAAUUGAUGACGAGGUUCUACGGAACUGAAGUGAUUGAUGCCAUGCUUCCAGGAAAAACUUCUAAGCUUCAGGUCAUAAGGGACCGUACCCCAAACCGACACAGGUGGUCAGGUAGAGAAUACCAAGGCGCUUGAGAGAACUCGGGUGAAGGAACUAGGCAAAAUGGCACCGUAACUUCGGGAGAAGGUGCGCCAGCUUUGGUGAUCGGACUUGCUCCGUAAGCUGAGGCUGGUCGAAGAUACCAGGUGGCUGCGACUGUUUAUUAAAAACACAGCACUGUGCAAACACGAAAGUGGACGUAUACGGUGUGACGCCUGCCCGGUGCCGGAAGGUUAAUUGAUGGGGUUAUCUCACCUCCAGAUUGCUUUUGCUGCAAGGCAAAUGAUGGAGCGAGCGAAGGAGUUUACAAAAGAGUAAAUGACUGAGCGAGCGGAAUCAUUUAACGCAGUCAGCAAGAGCAAUGUGGUGGUGAGAGAAGCUCUUGAUCGAAGCCCCGGUAAACGGCGGCCGUAACUAUAACGGUCCUAAGGUAGCGAAAUUCCUUGUCGGGUAAGUUCCGACCUGCACGAAUGGCGUAACGAUGGCCACGCUGUCUCCACCCGAGACUCAGUGAAAUUGAAAUCGCUGUUAAGAUGCAGCGUAUCCGCGGCUAGACGGAAAGACCCCGUGAACCUUUACUACAGCUUCACAGUGGAUCUUGAUGUUGCUUGUGUAGGAUAGGUGGGAGGCUUUGAAGCGGUGACGCCAGUCAUCGUGGAGCCAUCCUUGAAAUACCACCCUGGCAAUAUUGAGGUUCUAACCCGGGUCCCGAAACGGGAUCGGGGACAUUGUGUGGUGGGUAGUUUGACUGGGGCGGUCUCCUCCCAAAGAGUAACGGAGGAGCACGAAGGUGUGCUAAGUACGGUCGGACAUCGUACGGUUAGUGUAAAGGCACAAGCACGCUUGACUGCGAGAGGUACAUCUCGAGCAGGUACGAAAGUAGGUCUUAGUGAUCCGGUGGUUCUGCAUGGAAGGGCCAUCGCUCAACGGAUAAAAGGUACUCCGGGGAUAACAGGCUGAUACCGCCCAAGAGUUCACAUCGACGGCGGUGUUUGGCACCUCGAUGUCGGCUCAUCACAUCCUGGGGCUGAAGCCGGUCCCAAGGGUAUGGCUGUUCGCCAUUUAAAGUGGUACGCGAGCUGGGUUUAGAACGUCGUGAGACAGUUCGGUCCCUAUCUGCCGUGGACGUUGGAAGUUUGAGAAGAGCUGCUCCUAGUACGAGAGGACCGGAGUGGACGGACCACUGGUGUUCGGGUUGUGUCGCCAGACGCAUUGCCCGGUAGCUAUGUUCGGACGGGAUAACCGCUGAAAGCAUCUAAGCGGGAAGCCCCCUUCAAGAUGAGACUUCCCUUGCCCCUGAGGGCACUAAAGAGCCGUUAAAGACUAUGACGUUGAUAGGUUGGGUGUGUAAGUGCUGUGAGGCAUUGAGCUAACCAAUACUAAUGACUCGUGCGGCUUGACCAU
Molecule: ribosomal RNA, 3446 nt
Filed under: Endozoicomonas sp. GU-1
Lineage: Bacteria; Pseudomonadati; Pseudomonadota; Gammaproteobacteria; Oceanospirillales; Endozoicomonadaceae
Also listed under: 1 other name
Description: 23S ribosomal RNA
Rfam family: Bacterial large subunit ribosomal RNA
Source: RNAcentral